UUGGAUUAUAAUAGGGGAUAUUACACAAGGAAAAUCAUCCAAAUGGAUAUACAAUCUAAAUUUUUUCUUGACUUAAAUUGAAAGAAUCCAUCAACAUCCAUAGAACUUAACUAAAACACAAUCGACGAACAUCAUCCAACAGGAACAUGAUCCCUACAACUUAACUAAAACUGAAACCAUCCGUCUUCAUCAUCCUGAACAGGAACAUCAUCAUCAUUGUAGUAUACUUGCCACACACACCCAUAGAAUCUUCCAUUUAUCUUUUGAAUCUACAAAAAAUGAACUGUUAACACACAAUGCAUUGACAUGAUGCAAGUACUGAUAUAGGCAGGAUAUUAGUCACCUACAAAGGUUGACAUGCACAACUAAAUCUGCAUUACCAAGAGUUGCAAUUUUUGCGACUCUGUACCUAAUCUUCAGUUUUCACAAGUGCCAUCUCGACAUGCACUACCUAGAAUUCAUUAGUAAUUUCAGCACCAUCAAGUUCAAAUUUAGGAUCACAACUUACAACUGUAGCAAGAUCUACAUUUAUGUUAUGAUUUUUUAGGCUCGUUAAAAAUACUUUGUUUUCCUGCCUGUUAGAGAAAAUAAAAGUUACCAUGGGCAGAAUCAUGUCAAGCAAAAUAAUUAAUAGAAACAUGACAUAUAACACAAAAUGUUGAGAGGCCAAGACAUGUCGUGUUUGCAUCUUUUCCUCUACUUUAUGGUUAUGAAUACAUUCUUCUACAUGUUAAUCUCGUGAUGUGCAACAUCUAUGAAAUUCUAUGAAGCCUUUCACUACAAACAAAGUAGUUUUGGUGAUGAACACUUAAAAUAAUUAAACUUCAUAUGAUACCUUUAAUGUAGAACACAAAGAUAGACAUUUUUAUUCGAGUAGCAGUAUGGUAUGAUAAACUGCAUAAUUCUGAGGCACCUACUGGAAGAUAGAGAAGCAGUGUGUUUGACCAUUAAUCAAGUAACAAAACAUUACAAUAUCAAUACCUGGGACAUAUUAAGCCAAAAGAUAAAUUAAAUUUACCAAAUUAGUACAAAUAAAACAUAUUAGACAAUAAAAAGAAGCUUUGAAGCAUAACAUCCAUCAUAAAUGAGGUACUCCCAGUACCGACCCAAUGAUUUUGCAUGCACUGCAGCGAGGACAGCAGGGCGGAUCAAGCAUUAGUUCAUAUUUACCACCAAGUCCUAAUAAAAUAGCUAGUAUAUAUAUCCAGAUCAAACUCUAACUAGCACAUCUGAGCAGAUAAAUCAAAGGCAAUGACACUAUUAAGAAAAGGAGAAGACGCAGCAGAGAAAACAAGACUGUAGUAUGUUCGAAAAAAUAAUUAGGAUGUCUUGUUUGUAGACUUCAAAUACAAAUCAGAUAGAGAUAUGGUGAUAUAUUUAAUUGGAAGUUGCAGGCAUCCAAAAAAUAAUAUUGAAUAUAUAUGGUCUAAUAAUUGAAGGACACUAUAGAUGAACGGUGCCUAUUAAAGUGAUAUUGAAACAAUUGACAUUAUUUUUCUUUUUCUUUUUGCAACCCAUCAGUACAUGACCUCAUGAUGAAUCAGAAACAUGUUAGUAUUUAUAAAGUGGCCAUAUGCUACAAAUUUGCUUCUCUUUUCCCCAUGGUGUGUAUUCUUCGUUGUAAAUAAAAAACAAUCAAGAGAAUAAAGGAGUGACACUACGGAUGUAGGCAAGCGUAGUAUAAAGAGGAAGCACGAACCACAAAAGAAGUGUCUAGAAUUUGGUAAACUAGCAGACAGAACCGUGUAGGUAUAUGUUGUUAAUAAUAGAAGAAGGGGACAUCAAUCAAAUUGCAAAAGCCAAGUGAAUAAAUGGAAAACACCUAUGGUUUUGUAUUCCUGGAACACAAUCUAGUUCAGUUAUCUUAAAAAAAUACAGAAGUCAGAUAGGUUGUAAUAGGUGUGGAAUUUUAUCUAACAUGUCAGUUGAGUAAAUAAGUACUAAUUGUCUCAGCGUAGUUUUAUAAGAUUUGUUUCCCUUCUACUGUAUUUAGUGGUUACAUAGUAAACAAAUUUCUGUUCAUAAAUCAUAAGUAAAUCGCAAGAUCUGCUUGCAUAAAAAAAUUGAUAUGACAUUCAGCUCACAUAAACAUCUUUUUAAAUGGCAAGCAUAGCUCAUGGUAGAUGUACUCAAUAAUAUUUUUCAGAGUUUUGUGACAAGCAACAGUGAUUGAUCACCAGAUUACCUUCCUUUCGAUCUUGAACUCUAACUAUAGUGGGGAGAAAGCCUUAUGCAGC
Molecule: long non-coding RNA, 2237 nt
Filed under: Triticum aestivum (bread wheat)
Lineage: Eukaryota; Viridiplantae; Streptophyta; Magnoliopsida; Poales; Poaceae
Description: long non-coding RNA (TAES_LNC006377)
Source: RNAcentral